ACUGGCAUGUAUGAUGACUAAACUUUUUUCCCCAACAGAUCGACCAUGUUGAUCUCACUUUCUCUAAGCCAGUUUAACUGACAUGCCAAC
Small nucleolar RNA from Jaculus jaculus (lesser Egyptian jerboa), 90 nucleotides. Ensembl annotates it as predicted gene, 23201. Lineage: Eukaryota; Metazoa; Chordata; Mammalia; Rodentia; Dipodidae. The record is from Ensembl.